Long non-coding RNA from Hypanus sabinus (Atlantic stingray), 2777 nucleotides. RefSeq lists it as uncharacterized. NCBI's taxonomy places the organism in Eukaryota, Metazoa, Chordata, Chondrichthyes, Myliobatiformes, Dasyatidae. The transcript has 3 exons. The record is from RefSeq and is a predicted model, not a curated record.
CACACUGCAAUUUGAGAAGAUGUAUCAGUAUUACAGUGAAGUAAAGGGGCUUGAGAGAGGAGUUAGCCAAAAUAUGAUUGGAAAAGAACAUUGGCAGGGAUGACAAGACAGCAGCAAUGGCUGGAAUUUCUGGAAGCAAACAGAUAAGAUACAUCCCAAAAAAGAAGAAGGAUUUUAAAGGCAAGAUGACACAACCGUGGCUAUCAAGAGAAGUCAAAGCCAACAUAAAAGCCAAAGAGAGAGCAUAAAAUAGAGCAAAAAUUAUUGGGAUGUUAGAGGAUUGGGAAGCUUUUAAAAACCAACAGCAGGCAACUUAAAAAAAAGUCAUUAAGAAGGAAAAGAUGGAAUACGAAGGUAAGCUAGCCAAUAAUAUUAAAGAGGAUACCAAAAGCUUCUUCAGAUACAUAAAGUGUAAAAGAGAGGCGAGAGUGCAUAUCAGACCACUGGAAAAAGAUGCUGGAGAAGUAGUAAUGGGGGACAAGGAAUACUGUGCAUCAGUCUUCACUGUGGAAGACACUAGCAGUAUGCCAGAAGUUCGAGACUGUCGGGGCAGAAGUUGCUAUUACUAGAAUGAAGGUUCUUGGGAAAGUGAAAGUUCUGAAGGUAGAUACUUCACCUGGGCCAAAUGGUCUACACCCCAGGGUUCUGUAAGAGGUGGCUGAAGAGAUUGUGGAGGCAUUAGUAAUGCUCUUUCAAGAAUCCAUUGAUUCUGGCAUGGUUCUGGAGGACUGGAAAAUUGCAAAUGUCACUACACUCUUCAACAAGGGAGAGAGACAGAAGAAAGGAAAUUAUAGGCCAGUUAGCCUGACCUCAGUAGUUGAGAAGAUGUUGGAGCCAAUUGUUAAGGAUGUGGUUUCGGGACUUGGAGGCACAUGAUAAAAUAGGCUGUAGUCUGCAUGGUUUCCUCAAGAAAAAAUCUUGCCUGACAAAUCUGUCGGAAUUCUCUGAAGAAACAGCAAGUAAGAUAGACAAAGGAAAAUCGGUGGAUGUUGUGUACUUGGAUUUUUAGAAGGCCUUUGACAAAAUGGUACACGUGAGGCUGCUUAACAAGCUCUGAGCCCAUGGUAUUACAGGAAAGAAUCUAGCAUGGAUAAAGCAGUAGCUGAUUGGAAGGAAGCAAAGAAUGAGAAUAAAGGGAGCUUUUUCUGGUUGUCUGUCAGUGACUAGUAGUGUUCCACAGGGGUCUGUGUUGGGACUAAAUCUUUUUAUGUUAUAUGUCAAAGACUUAGAUGAUGGAAUCAAUGGCUGUGGCAAAGGUUACAGAUGAUACAAAGAUAGGUGGUGGGGCAGGUAGUUUUGAUGAAGUAGAGAGGCUACAGAAGGACUUAGACAGAAGAGGAGAAUGGGCAAAGAAGUGGCAGAUGGAAUACAGUGUCAGGAAGUGUAUGGCCAAGCAUUCUGGAUCCUGGUAGAAGAAAUAAAAGGUUAGACAAUUUUCUAAAUAGAGUGAAAAUUCAAGAAUUUGAGGUGCAAAGGGACUUUGGAAUCUUUGUGCAGAAUUCCCUAAAGGUUAAUUUGGAGGUUGAAUUGGUGGCGAGGAAGGCAGAUGCGAUGUUAGCAUUCAUUUCAAGAGGACUAGAAUAUAUAAGCAAGGAUGUAAUUUUGAGAUUUUAUAAAGUACUGGUGAGGCCUCACUUGGAAUAUUCUGAAUAUUUUUGGGCCCUUUAUCUAAGAAAGGGUGUGUUGACAUUGGAGAGGGUUCAAAGGAAGUUCACAACAAUGAUUCUGGGACUGAAAUGCUUGUCAUAUGAUGUGUGUUUGAUAGCUCUGGGCCUGUACUCACUGGAAUUCAGAAGAAUGAGGGGGUGACCGAAUUACAAUAUAUCAAUUGUUGAAAGUCCUUUAUACAGUGGAUGUGAAGAGGAUUUUUCCUAUGACAGGGGAGUCUAAGACCAGAGUAUACAGCCUCACAAUAGAGGAACAUUCAUUUAGAAUGGAGAUGAGGAGGUAUCUCUUUAACCAGAGAGUGGUGAAUCUAUGGAAUUUGUUGUCACAGGUGGCUGUGGAUGCCAAGUCAUUGGGUAUAUUUAAGGCAUAGGUUGAUAAAUUCUUGAUUAGUCAAGGCAUGAAGGGAUACGGGGGAAGACAAGAGAUUGGAGCUGAGAGGGAAAUUAGAUCAGCCAUGAUGAAAUGGCACAGUCGACUCGAAGGGCCUAAUGGCCUAAUUCUGCUCCUAUAUCUUAUGGUCUUACCAGAUGAGUGAUUCAUGGAAUGAUAAGGUACUGCUAAAAAGGUUGAGGUAUUGAAUGAGCUAUCCAAGAUGGAAGGAAUGUUUAAAUUUGGAGUGAAUGGGGUGGACAGGUAGGUGGAUGUUGGGCUGCGUUUGAGUGAAUGCUUAGUUACUUGGUACCUUAAAAUAAUGGUGAUGUUCUCUUCUUUGAGACUAGGAUUUAUGAUUUUGAGUCCUGAACUGCAAAUUGAAUAAUUCAGUCUGAGAAGACUCUCCAAUGUACUGCUGAGGGAAUAAUUCUGCCCUGCUGAAAGUAUUGACUUCCUGGAACACUAAAGCCAAUUGUAGCACUCACUAUCAACAUUCUAAGCAAGAUUAAGUAACAGGACAUUGAACCAAAAACCUUCCUGACUACACAAAAUCACACUAGAAGACUACACAGUAAACCUACUUACUGUGAAAAUUAGUUCUUCUUCCAGCCAAGAGGGAUGUUUUCUGUUUUCUUCCGCAACUUGUAAGGUUAAAUUUUAAUAAGUUAUUGUAGUAUUUAGCAUGCAAAUACUUGAAUGUAAUAAACUGAACAUUAAAACAUUGUAAUAAAUAGUUA